Molecule: ribosomal RNA, 141 nt
Filed under: uncultured eukaryote
Lineage: Eukaryota
Description: partial 18S ribosomal RNA
Rfam family: Eukaryotic small subunit ribosomal RNA
Source: RNAcentral
UGGUGGAGUGAUUUGUCUGGUUAAUUCCGUUAACGAACGAGACCCCUGCCUGCUAAAUAGCUGGGUGAGUAUUUUUACUGAUCGUAAGCUUCUUAGAGGGACGUGCAUUCUAUUAGAUGCAGGAAGAUAGGGGCAAUAACA